AAAGAAAAAAAUAAUAAAACUAAACAUAAGUAAACAGUAAGUUAAAACUGAAGAUUACUUAACUUAGUUAUUAAGUAACCUUUUGUUCAUUCAAAACAACAUUACUCAUUCUGAUUACCACAAGAAGACUCACAAAAAAAUCAAGCAUAACAUUCCAGGCGAAGCUUUAAUCUUCAACUAAGCACAUUCUCUGGAAUCUCACGAGAGACUAAGUCUGAGAUAUAUUUUAUGUUAGUUUAUCACCCUUAAGCCCUUAAUUAGCAUGAGGUCUCACAGAGUUACUAGAUGAGAAGGUCAUUUUAAAAAUUACUUAGAGUUACUGCAUGGUUCUUGUAAAAAAUAAAUGGAAAAGAGGUGAUAGGAGGGAAAUCUAGGACUGGGUCACCUGGAAUCCCAGCAGGUUUGACAUAAGUGUGCACACAGUCUCUGAAUACUGCUGACAGGCACAAAGGCGGUCGGGGAGGCAUGGAUUCUUCUCCUGGCUCUGCCUGUAAGAUAUGUUGUAUUCACGGGAAGGUACCUGGACAACUUCUCAGAGACCCAGCUACAAAGAGAGGAUUCCACCGGAUUUUUGAGUGGCAGAAGGAGAGCACCCACCGGUGAGCAGCGUUCACCAGUGAACGUUAUGUGGAGGUACCAAGCAAUGGAAGGAUGUUAGCGGACUAAAUAAAAGAUUCCAAAAGAAGAGCAGAUUGCUACCCAUAAAACUAAGCAACGUCAACGUGGAAUUACUGGAAGAAUCCGAAAGUCUUUGCAGAAAUGCUGUGCUUACUCCAAUGUUUCUCAAAAACCAGCUAUUUUAAAGGGACCAGGGUCAAUAUAAAUGAAAUAAAUGGAGGCUAAGAUAAAAUAUGUCAGAAAAUUUGCCGAAAGGUUAUUUUAAGGUGGCAUGUUAAAAACAAUAAUGGGCCAUUAGGCUGUCUUGUUAAAGGCAUUAAAGUCACAGGCACAAUGUAUGAGUCACAUGGGCAAGAUUUUCCACUUUAUAUAUAAAAACUUCAAUAUUGAAUUUCUGGUAAAAGUAAAAUGUUGCCAUUUCUGUGUAUAUUAUUAUAAAUAUUCAAAUUAAAUUGUAGGCAGAGGAGUAAGCAAUGUAGUAAUGUCUCUAGAAAUGUGUUAUCAAAAUGCUAGACAUUCUAAUUGACAUUACAAUACAGACUUUAAUGUAAUUUUUCUUUAUAAUUAAGUAGGCAUUGAAAAAAUCUUUUGGCUGAUCAUUGUGCAUGCACGCAUACUGCUUUUUACAAGCAAGCAUCCCGUCGUCAAAGGCAUUUGUAAUUAAUUUACUUUUAAAACAAAAUUUGAGCAUCUCCAAAGACUAAGAUAAGGGACUAGAUAACUUAAUGUUGUAUAAGAAAUGGUUACCUCACCUUUUAAUGUAGAAUUGGAGACAGAUGCUUGAUAUAUGAGGUAUACGCCCUAUAAGGAUGGCUUCGUCUAUUUUGUGCCUUGCUGAAUCUCCAGAACCCACAACAAAAUGUACCACAUAUAAGAAACUCAAGCAGAGUUUGCUAAAAGAAGGAAUUAUUAACAAAUUCUUAUUGUUUACAAAAUUACUUCAAUGAUAAAUUCUUACAACCCUUUUCUGACUAUUAUGCAUGAUUUUGGAGGCUAUAUCUUAAUAAUUUGUUUUGUUUAAUUUUACAAUAAUUAACAUUAAAGAAAUAUUAUUCCUAUUAACUCUUUAUGGUCAUUGAUGAUAAAGAAAAAGUCCUUUAAAGGGACAUGGAACACUUCAUGGUUAAUUUGUUGCUGAGAAAAUUUGCCUUUACCUUUGGAAUGUAUUUAUUUGCUUUUUUUCUUUGUUAGUUUACUUAUUUUGAGUUUUAGAAUAUUCGUGGCAUAGCAUCAACAAUAAAAAAAACACUAGAUGUAGAUAAAGAUACAGAUAUGGAUAACUUCCAUUUAGGUACAAUGUCUUAUGACAUCUGGUUAAGCCACCUGCUUCUUCCUGAUGGAAACUCAGGAUCUUUAAAUGGUUUGGGCUAUUUUAGUUAAAUAUCUUAUAUCAGAUAUACCAUAUGGGAUUUUUUUUUCUUAUAGUAUUUAUACCGUCACACAUUGACUAUUUAAUUACUUUCUGAGAGUCUUGUAUUGUCACAUUUUUAAAUCUUUAAAGUAAAUUGAAAAAAUCUUUAUUUUCCAUCCAGCAGUGAUCAAGAGUUCAGAAAGGAGCUGACUUGUAAGUCCUGCACUGGGGCACUGUGGAGUCCGAGGGGGCAAAUGUACGCUGCAUACUUUGGAGCUCCAUAACACAAAUUCAUGUCUUGAAUGGGGUGGGGGAGGAGGCGUUUGCAGAGUAAAAAAGAAACAGAAGAUUCCAGAUGCUAGAGCUUACAGAUGCUUUCAUUACAGGAAACUCAUAUAAAUGAUGACAGUACACAGAAUAGAUGUGGAAAGCAGAAAAAGAUACCGGAUCACAAGAUAUGCAUCUGUACUCAGAAAAUCACGGAUGAGAUUACUGAAAACAACUGUUGGGAGUUUUCUGAUUUAAUCCCAUUGACUGGAUCACUGAACAGGACAUUUUUCACUUCCAGUUUUCAUGUUUUGGCUGACCUAGGAAAUCUCAUGGUUUUGCUUUGUGACACACGCUUUUAGGAAAAGCUGUUAUUUCUGCUGCUUUGCACUGCCCUGUCUCUACUGAACUGUGGGGCUUCGGCAGAAUUUAGAGUUUCAGGGCUGCAAGACAAACCCACAGAAAUAAUGCAAUGCUAUAUAGCUGGAGCACUGGUGAUGACAGUCCAUUCCAGUGUUGGUGACUGGAAGGGAGAGGGACUGCCACCCAGUGUUUUCACAGUGCCUAUUUCAGACAGCAUUUAAACCCACAAAGUGGGGUGGGAUGGGGAACAAGCAAGGGAAAAAAAAGAUUCCAUUUCCUUGAGGGGGUAAAAAUAAUUCAAAAGUAUCUGAGAAGACUUAGGCAUGGUAAUUCCCUAUUCCAAACAUACAUAAGUCACAGGCAACCUUAUUCUUUGGUUUCUAGGCACUUUUUUGAGUUUAGCACAAUAGGGAGAAGAAAACUGGAGGUUAGUGAAUCCAGUGGGGCAAGAGGUGAAGAGGACUAAAUUUCAGUCAAGACAACAAGGAAAGUACAAAGAAUGCAGUUUCUCUUUCAUGUGCUUUGAUCGUCUUUCCUGUUUUACCCUUAAUGAAUACUUUCUCAAAACUAAAAAUAAAACACCGCAUUCUAUUAAGUUCUGCUCUUCCUCCUAGGGAAUUCUGAAGGGGUAAGUGUCUGUUUCUCAUCUAUGAAUAUGACUCUCUACUUUCAUAUGUAUAGCUCAUGCACAUAGCUGCUUACGUGUGUUUUUCUUUUGCUGGGAAUCAGGCAGUGGACAAGAGGAAGAGGAAAAAGGAGUCCAUCCUAAAGACCCAAAACAAAUGUUAGUUUCUUCAAAUUGCUUUUACAAUUCUAGUGGUUGGCACUGACCAAACUCAGUUUGGCAUAUUGGAAGAUUUGCAGUUGCAGCAUAAAAUCACACACGUGCUGUGAGAAGCCAGGAAGAGUAGGGCAGGUAGAAGUUCGCCAUCAUCCACCUGACGCAGCAGCUCCUGGAAGGUAAUGGGCUGAGAAAGAAACUUCCUGAACAGGAGAGAAGCAUUUCUUGUCAACAAUUAAGGUGCACCGUGUGUGCAUACUCAGUGUGAAACUUGGUUUUUCAUUCCGAUGACGUGCCCACAAGGUCUCAGAUUAUUCUAAUUGGAGAAUAAUGAAAUGAGAGAUGCCAUCCCAGAGGCCUUUGAUUUGAGUUUACUAGUUUACUUAUGCCUUACACAAAGGCCACACAUGUGUACCCUCGGAGUGCAUGAGCACACAUUACUCAGAGCUGUAUUAUCAAUCCUCGAUGCCAGUCACAGCUUGCUUACUUGUGGAUGGGACCUUUGCCAUUGUAGAGAGAUGCUAAUAUAUACGUGGUCAGCAACUGCGCUCAUUACAAAUAAGCUCUCUCCAACUAAAUGAUUUAAAUAAUCAUAUUAAUAAAUACAUGAUACCCGUACGUACAAGUCACAUUUUCUCCCCCACUGAUGGCUUUGAUUACUUUGACAGACUAAGAUACGCUAAUGAUACAAAUUAGGAGCAAGAAGAAUUAAAAGGGUGUUUAACUCUGAUGCUAGGCUGUCAAUUUCCUAUAGUGCUACCAACUUACAGAUAGAUGAUUAAAAUUGUUUCAUUUAAGAAUUUUGAAUAUUUUAAAAAUUGAAUGGGUUUCUGGAGGAGGAAAAAAGAAAGAAAAAAAAUCUAUGCUAAGCUAAUUAGACAUCCUAUUUGAUUUAACAAUAGAACAGGAUUAUUCUUUGAGUGUUAAGCUCAUCCUGCAUUACUAUAAGAGCCUACAUUUUGCUAUUACAAAAUGCAUUUGCAAAUUUUGCUCGCUGUGUUUGGCUGAUUCUGUACAUUUGAUAUUAUUCAUAUAUUUAAUUGUGGGUUUAUAAAAAGAAGUGGUCAUUUACUUCUUAAUUUGUUUCUAAAGUAAUUAUUUCCAAAAUAUGAUGGUGGAUACUGUGAGUAAGUCCCAGAUAUAUGAAAUAAUGGUUCCUUUCUCUGAGGGGCUGAAAAUCUAGCAGAAAAAAAUGGCACAUACACACAGAUUACCAUAUAUCGUAGAAUCUUAUGAGUGACAUAUUAGUAAACACAAAGUACUUUGACUGCAAGGAAGUAGUACGGAUUUUUCAGUCAGGCAGUGUAGUUUUAAGCUUUGAUUUCAUCAUCAGAUAAUUAUAACCACCUUGAGAAAUUUACUGUAUUUUUUUGGGUCUCUCUUGUAUUAUGUGUAUGAUGAAGUAAUAUAUCAUAUCUCUCUUUCAUAUCUGUCUAUCUCUCAGACAUAUGUGAAUAUUACUUGAGCCAACACAUGUGAACUAUUCAGAACGGAUAUUGGUGCAUGGUAAGUACUUUUAUUAACCCAAUCAUUGCUCCAAAGAUCAAAUUUAUCUCUGUGGUUUUAUCAGUGUUCCUUUUUGCCCUAUCUACCAGACUAUAAACCAUCUGAGGUCAGAGACUUUAUUAUAUUCGUUGUCAUAUCCCUGCUGAUUCAACAGGAUUUGAAUAAUUAUUAUUAAAUGAAUAAACACAUAAAGACGUGGAUGAAUGCUUGAUAAUCAGUUGGUUAAAUAAUGUUUAGUUGUUUAGAGGCUCUAGCAAGGUCUGCAUUCUCAUCUCCUCAUCUCUAUGGAAUGGUCAUCUUUGUGUAAGGAUGCAAUAUUAGAAAAGACUGUGGGAGUACAGAAGAAAGUAGAACCCCUAUCUAUACUGUGAAAUAAAUUGAACCAGUUCUGAGGUCAUUGGGUUGACACACUACUUUCCUAUUCUAUAUGUUAUAAUAAAUGUUCAGAAAAUAAAAAACACUGGGGAAAAAAAAGAGUUCUGUAAAAAAAAAAAAAUCAGAGGUUGCCUAAAUAAAUCAGCCCUCUUCAGUGGGAAUAGCUGAAUGAGGAUAGAGUAAUGCAAAGAGACCCAUGCAGGAAGUCAGAGCCUUCAUAGUCAAUCCCAGCUGAGAAUGCCAUGACCCUGGACAAGUUACUUUCUGUUUCUGUGCUUUACUUCCAUCAUUUGGAGUUAGAAAAUGGAGGACUUAAUC
Long non-coding RNA from Felis catus (domestic cat), 5579 nucleotides. RefSeq lists it as uncharacterized. NCBI's taxonomy places the organism in Eukaryota, Metazoa, Chordata, Mammalia, Carnivora, Felidae. The transcript has 3 exons. The record is from RefSeq and is a predicted model, not a curated record.